CCUACGGGUGGCAGCAGUGAGGAAUAUUGGUCAAUGGACGCGAGUCUGAACCAACCAUGCAGCGUGAAGGAAGACGGCUCUAUGAGUUGUAAACUGCUUUUGUACGAGAGUAAACGCAGAUACGCGUACCUGUCUGUAUGUAUCGUAUGAAUAAGGAUCGGCUAACUCCGUGCCAGCAGCCGCGGUAAUACGGAGGAUUCAAGCGUUAUCCGGAUUUAUUGGGUUUAAAGGGUGCGUAGGUGGUCGGAUAAGUUAGAGGUGAAAGCUCGAGGCUCAACCUUGGAAUUGCAUUUGAUACUGGUCGUCUUGAGAAUAGUUGCGGUAGGCGGAAUGUAUGGUGUAGCGGUGAAAUGCUUAGAGAUCACACAGAACACCGAUUGCGAAGGCAGCUUACCAAGCUACUUCUGACAUUGAGGCACGAAAGCGUGGGGAGCAAACAGGAUUAGAUACCCGUGUAGUC
RNAcentral lists this ribosomal RNA (460 nucleotides) under uncultured bacterium. RNAcentral's name for it is "partial 16S ribosomal RNA". It matches the Rfam family "Bacterial small subunit ribosomal RNA", at positions 338 to 795 of the family's 1533-position model. The record is from RNAcentral.